AACAAACAUACGAACCUAUUUUGAACGUUGGAGAUGAAAAUAUCGAAGAAAGCGAGCGUCGUGAACAGUUUGUGAUCGAGGGGACGAAGGCUUUGUUUAUACACCGCGUUUGGAUAAUUGUAUUUUUGCCGUUGUUUUAAUAUGUCAGGAUACGGUUAAACGUUUGAAGUAAUAUUGAACAGUAUGGUUGGCUCUAAUUGUGCUUUGUAUGACUGUCCGACCAGCAGAACGCG
Molecule: non-coding RNA, 233 nt
Organism: Paramuricea clavata
Lineage: Eukaryota; Metazoa; Cnidaria; Anthozoa; Malacalcyonacea; Plexauridae
Source: the annotation of a GenBank genome assembly